RNAcentral lists this ribosomal RNA (303 nucleotides) under uncultured bacterium. RNAcentral's name for it is "partial 16S ribosomal RNA". It matches the Rfam family "Bacterial small subunit ribosomal RNA", at positions 507 to 809 of the family's 1533-position model. The record is from RNAcentral.
AGCAGUAGCCGCGGUAAUACAGAGGGUGCGAGCGUUAAUCGGAUUUACUGGGCGUAAAGCGUGCGUAGGCGGCUUUUUAAGUCGGAUGUGAAAUCCCUGAGCUUAACUUAGGAAUUGCAUUCGAUACUGGGAAGCUAGAGUAUGGGAGAGGAUGGUAGAAUUCCAGGUGUAGCGGUGAAAUGCGUAGAGAUCUGGAGGAAUACCGGUGGCGAAGGCGGCCCCCUGGACAAAGACUGACGCUCAGGUGCGAAAGCGUGGGGAGCAAACAGGAUUAGAUACCCCUGUAGUCCCUGUCUCUUAUAA